GUUUCGGACAGGUAAUGGCGGACAUGCGAUAGUUCGGGCUGACUUAUAUUCCAACAUAGGAAGUGUUAUAAACAGCUGAUCGGAUCGGCAAAGCCUGUUUCUGGAAUAUUGUGUUUUUGUUGCUGCAAGUCUGGAAUAUUAUGUUUUUGUUGCUGGAAGUGCUUUUUAUGCAAUUUUUUGCAAAGCUAUAUGUGGAAGAAAACCGUGACCUAGGGCAAGCUAAUGGAAUAAGAUUUCAUCCUCCAGAUUCCCGCUGCUCUUAACACUCGAAGUCAGCAAUUGCCUCAAGGAGCCGAAUCCGGUACCUUUGUCUGGAAACUCCCUUGACACUUCAAUCAGGCAGAGAGGCAGGGCAGACGCUUGGAAUUUUAAUCAAAAAGAGAAUAAUGAAUUUGUAGAAUUUGAAAAUGUGCCUCUCAAACAAAAUGCUCCCAACCCUCUUUGAUAUGGAAAAGCUACCA
This is a long non-coding RNA of Oreochromis aureus, 461 nucleotides long. The record is from Ensembl. Lineage: Eukaryota; Metazoa; Chordata; Actinopteri; Cichliformes; Cichlidae.